AACGUAUUCAGCUCUGCUAGUGCGAAGCUCCGCUUUUGAUUUCUUUUUACGCAAGAAGUGAUUUGUUUGGUUGAGCGUCUGACUCCCUGUUUUCCAAUCAGGUCCGCUCGGGCCAUUUUCGAUUUCAUGAACCCAUGUUUCGAAAGACGCUGCUACGGAACACACGGUAAGCAUACAGAACGCUGGAUACGGUUGUGGAUAGCAGAGGAAUUGGAAACCAAGAUGGUUCCUGCGAACCAAACGGGUCGCUAGUUUGCUUGCUACCAAAGUGGUGUUUGCAGCUGUUCAAGAAGAAUAUGCAUCUCUCUUCUGCACACAUACAUGUCAAAGACGAGAUUCACAUGAAGGGUUUAGUCACUAGCACAAGGUAUAUAGUACGUACUUGGUAGCUAGCUAAGCUACUGUCUUUUUUGGCUGCUCAAGUAUGUCUCUCAACAAUCAAAUUUGUCAUCAUCAUCAUCAUCUUGCUCGAGCUGUGGUGAAUUUUGUGUGUGCUGGCCAUCGGCCAUUCAAGGAUUUCUUCUUCUUCUUUUGUUUUUUUGGAUUUGAGCUCAAGCCUUGCCUUUGUGCAGGAUUCAGUACAACAUCGUCACUGAGUAAUGCAUAGGAGAAGGAAGGGUUCAUCUUGACAGCCAAGCCAAGGUUAGUGGCUUUCUCUGUUUUGUGCUCACGCAAUGUUGGAAUGCUAUGUGUGUCCACGUCCAUCUACCCGUUGUUAAUUCUUUGUUGGCCAACAAGACUACAUACUACCUUAUCGAGGUGCACCUCCAAAGACCACAUAACAGCAUCCCAAAUUUUAAUUUUCUUGCUGCUACUACUCCUGCUGCUUUGUGGUGCACUUGUUGUAGCAACAGCACUACUUCAAACACAAGUCUUGUAGUUGCUUAGCAUAGCAGCCCAGUGGCGCUCUUCUUGCAAGAGUUUUUGCUUUGUCAACUUGAAAGAUCAGUGUAGUAGUACACCAUUCUUGGCUUAAGAUUUCCAAGAUAAACAUGUUGUAAAUACAUGUGACUGUACUGCUAUAAUCUGAGCUAUCUCCCCUUUAUCUGGAUUAACUUGUCUUCACAUGCAUAAUUUGGUCUGUUUAAGUGAAUCUUCUCAGCAGGACAUGUCUUGUUGACAAGUUGUUUUAAAAUAUAAAUAGAAGAUAGAAAUAAGAGGGGAGGCCUAGAGAGCUAUUGUAAAUAGGAGGUGGGGUCAUAAUGCUUUUUGGUCACUGUGUUGUUUCAAGUAUUGAGUCAGUUUUUGAUCUGGAUGAUGACCGUGGUGGCCCAUAUUAGCUGCAGCUAACAGAGGACUAGGGGGAAGCGCUCUUCUCCUGCUCAAGCAUGCCGGACAGGACGGCCGUCAGCAACAUGGACAUCGUGUACAACAACGUCAACGUGGAUGCUGCCAACAGGAAUGACAUCUUCAUCGGUAACACACAUGCAUGUAACGCAUGGAUUUUAUUCGUUUGCCAAAAAUGUUGCUGUUGAUAUGAUGAGUAUUACUCUGAUGUUGUUUUGGUGCAUGUUGUUUUGGUGCUGAUGAAUUGGCUAGCCAAUCACGUUUGUAAACUAGCUAGUGUCUGUUUGUGAGAUGUGCACGCACCCCUGGAAACUGUGUACCUUGCUGAUCUGGGGCCAGAAAUUUGCUAGCAUAGCAAAGCUGAUCAAGGGUCUUGGCAUUCUAUUUGUUGUUGUUCUUCCGUUCACUGACACAUGGAUAGAUGGAUCAUUGAGGCCAAGACGCUGGAAGAACAAGGAGGGCAAAAAAAGAACCCAUCCUGUAUCUAGAUUCUGUGUAUAAGUAUGUAUGACUAGUAAAGUUGUGAUGUUUUGAAUACAAGAAAUAGAAAUUCUUGAUAUCAUUUCUUUCAUGGGGCCGUGCAGUAGAUAAAAUCAUGGUAGAAAUGUCUGGCCAAUGCAAAGUUCCG
RNAcentral lists this long non-coding RNA (1915 nucleotides) under Triticum aestivum (bread wheat). Its description in RNAcentral is "long non-coding RNA (TAES_LNC028254)". Lineage: Eukaryota; Viridiplantae; Streptophyta; Magnoliopsida; Poales; Poaceae. The record is from RNAcentral.